CCACUCCUUCUAAAAAUCAGUGGGAAAAUAUCCUCGGGGGAGGAUUUAAAACAAUAAAAAUAAAAAAUAAAGUGGGCAGUGAUCUGAUCUUAUCAGGAGAUUCGUUCUCUAGUGAACAUUUUAACAAGAUCCAAGUUAAAGGUGUGCUUAUUUAUUGAUAAUAUCAAUGGUAAAGCUGCCUUAUUUCCCAAACAGCCUGUGUGUCUGUGUAAAUACAUAAAUAUAGAUGUGGCUUUUAAACUUCAACUUUUAUUCAGUUCCACUUCCCGGGAUGUCCCAUGAGACACACUUGGAGGGAGGCUAAGGUGGGGGCGGCCUUAAGAAUAUUCCAGUGAAGAAACACAUUCCAUGAGCUACACAUGAAGACAUUUAGCUGCUCUGUAACUGGGGUGGGAGGAGGAGAUGCUGAGCUGAGUGAGACGAAGAAAUGAACACGUUUGCGUCCAGUUCCCUUACGGUGAAGUGGGCGUAUUGGCCCCUGUCCUGGGGUCUGUCCCUCCCAGGUUGUGCCCGGAGCUCUGAGCACCUGGUCGCUGCUGCCACCUGCUUCCACCUCCAGCCUCCACCCCGUGCCCAGACCACAGACCUGCCUGGCCCACCCGCAAGCCCCCCUCUUCCUGUCCUUCCUCCCCAGGACCUCGGGAGCACACGGAGCUUCUGUGAUUUAGACCAUUGGAAUGAAUACUUAUUCUAAGUGUGGAUGUGUUUUGGGGACACCCUGUACAUACCAGUUGAAUCAAUAAAUAUUUAUCUGAAUGGAAGGUAUGCAUUCUGUGACUAAGAGGGAGAAAGUCCCUUUCUUGGCUUUCUACUGAGAAUUUUAUAUUGACGAUUAGCUAUUUUGGGUUUGGAUAAAAUAGUAUCUUUAUAUUUUUAUAACAGGUACAUUUCAAUAUCCAUUUUACAAAUCAACAUAACUGUUCAUGGUAAAACAUAAUUUUGUCCUGUGGAAUAUUAUUAUCCUUAAUGAUUCAGGUAAUUAUACUUCCUGUUGAAUAUUAUUACCCUUCAUGAUUUCAGAUAAUUAUACUUCAGCAAAUGGCUCCAUCCGUUUGAAUUUUCACACUAUAAUUACCUUCCGUGUUCACUCUAUGAAAUUACCCCUCAGACCUUCCCCGGGGGCGUUGAGACCCGGGUGAGCUAGGGAACAGGUGCGCUGUGAGGGUGAGCACAGCCUCACGUGGUUCUGACGAAGGAAAUUCGCAUCUGGUUUGAGUCCUGAAGUUGUCCCGGUCCCUGUAACAGGGGAGAAACCCUGGGCUCUGCCUGUGGGUGGGAACGCUGGGGGACCCGCUGCCUGGGAGGGGCCUGGGUUCCUAGGCCCCGAGGCUUUCCCUGGAGCUGGGGACCUCCUGGUGCUAAAAUCGCGUCCUUGGUCCUGAAUGUGCACACACAGGCGUGUUUGAGCUCCUGCUGGGGGCCAGGCUCUGUGCUGGGAACUGGACGAGACGGGAGCCCCGGACAGAGGCCCAGGCCGGACACCCAGGAGCCAUGUGUGGGAUCUUGUCCUCCCAGAGGAAGCCGCCAGGACCCACGGCUGUUUUCACUUGAACCAGGUCAGGCCCAGAACAGUUUCGUUGCUAACGUCUCUUCACACGUUUCUCCUGGGAGGAGCCCAUUGUUUUUCCGCUAAGAAUGUGUUCUCUUUAUUUUUAUUGAUUUAUUUUGGUUAAUUCUCCUCUGAGGAUAUUUUUCCAUUGAUUUUCAGGGAGAGUGGAAGGGAGGGGGAAAGACAAAGAGAAACAUUGAUGUGAGAGAAACAUCGAUUGGUUGCCUCCUGUACGUGCCCGACCAGGGCCCGGCCGACGCUCCAUCCACAAGCCAAACCGGCCAGGGCUGCUCUCCUCUUCAGAGGUCGUUCCCUGUCACGAAACUGCAAGAAGAGGAGCAGAUCAGUCCCAGGUCACGCAAAUGUGCUACCGUGCCUUUCCUCGGAAAGAUCGUAACUCUAAUGUCACACGUGUAAGUCCCUAUCCACUGGAUGCCCACGGGGUGCUGCCCCUUUAACAAAGUCACUGCAGACGAUUACACAGAGACAGUAAUUGCACUGAAAUUAUAUUCGAUUACAAACUAUGAAAGUGUCGUGUCACUUUGUGGUUAAGAAUUAAGUCGAUACAUCAUUACUCGGAAUUUCUAACAGACGUCCUUUAACAUCCGCUGGUUUUGUAAUCCUGGAGUCCGUGGAGGCAUCUGCGAUUUUCAUGGAGCUUGUAGAUUUAAGUGAAAAGCUUGCAAGUACAGACAAGUCAGAUUAGCCUCGUUUUUAUUUAGCGUAGACGCUUAACCGCAUGUUACUGCGUCCAAUGUGUUGGACCGAGUUUUCAAUUACAGCUCAGUCCGAGGUUCCCCUUAUGGGUGAGCAGAUUCGAGGAGACGAUGUGCAUAGUAAACACCAGGACAGAAGGAACAGCCUCCUUGACAAACGCACAGCAUCUGGUGACGAGUAAUCCCGGGAGAUGUUUGCCGCCUACGGAUCUGCGAGGACGGCGUGACCGUAAGGACACGUGUUUCUGAGUCGUCGGGACUCUGCCAAAAUGGGGAAAAACAACAUAUUUUGGAUGCUAAUCCCCCGUUUUCAUCCUGCGUUUCCUAAUUAAAUCGAAGACAAAAAGAAGGUCUGGUUUAUCACCCACUUUAGCAAGAACACAAUUCCUGCAAAGCUCACUUCUCUACCAGCAGUCGAUCCGACGUGGGAGCCCGCCAGAGCCGUCAGGCUUCGGGAUGAGAUACUGAGGGAUAGAACGUCACCGACCAGACCCGCGUCCCGCUGACACACUCCACGCCUGAGCGCCUCUCGGCCCCUGGCUUUCUAAGCGCCAGUCAGCCCCGGCAGGAGCACGGCUUCUGGUGUGUGUGUGUGUGUGUGUGAUUUUCUGUAUGACUCUCCCAGGAUGAAAGAAUUUGUAAAACAUGCCACACCUGACUUUAGUCAGGGCACUGGCCUCUUUCCCUCAGAUUGUCAAAUAAAGAACAACAAUGGCCAUUCUGGUCUGAAUGAA
Myotis lucifugus (little brown bat) is the source of this 2999-nucleotide long non-coding RNA. RefSeq lists it as uncharacterized. The transcript has 3 exons. NCBI's taxonomy places the organism in Eukaryota, Metazoa, Chordata, Mammalia, Chiroptera, Vespertilionidae. The record is from RefSeq and is a predicted model, not a curated record.